Molecule: ribosomal RNA, 139 nt
Filed under: uncultured bacterium
Lineage: Bacteria
Description: partial 16S rRNA
Rfam family: Bacterial small subunit ribosomal RNA
Source: RNAcentral
GGGAAUUUUCCGCAAUGGGCGAAAGCCUGACGGAGCAAUGCCGCGUGGAGGUGGAAGGCCUACGGGUCGUCAACUUCUUUUCUCGGAGAAGAAACAAUGACGGUAUCUGAGGAAUAAGCAUCGGCUAACUCUGUGCCAG